RNAcentral lists this ribosomal RNA (938 nucleotides) under Campylobacter jejuni. RNAcentral's name for it is "bacterial LSU rRNA". It matches the Rfam family "Bacterial large subunit ribosomal RNA", at positions 1135 to 1921 of the family's 2925-position model. The record is from RNAcentral. Lineage: Bacteria; Pseudomonadati; Campylobacterota; Epsilonproteobacteria; Campylobacterales; Campylobacteraceae.
UAAUAGCUCACUGGUCUAGUGAUUUUGCGCGGAAAAUAUAACGGGGCUAAAGUAAGUACCGAAGCUGUAGACUUGCGCACAACUUAGAUUAUUUAAGUUUAGAAUAUGAGAAACUAAGUUAUAUUUUUACUGAUUUUUAUAGAGUAAAGAUAGAAAUAAAACUUAGUAAAAUCAGUAAAAAUAUUCUUAGGCUAAAGUUAAGUAGUUUAAGUUGUGUGCAAGUGGUAGGAGAGCGUUCUAUNUGCGUCGAAGGUAUACCGGUAAGGAGUGCUGGAGCGAAUAGAAGUGAGCAUGCAGGCAUGAGUAGCGAUAAUUAAUGUGAGAAUCAUUAACGCCGUAAACCCAAGGUUUCCUACGCGAUGCUCGUCAUCGUAGGGUUAGUCGGGUCCUAAGUCGAGUCCNNAAGGGUAGNCGAUGGCAAAUUGGUUAAUAUUCCAAUACCAACAUUAGUGUGCGAUGGAAGGACGCUUAGGGCUAAGGGGGCUAGCGGAUGGAAGUGCUAGUCUAAGGUCGUAGGAGGUUAUACAGGCAAAUCCGUAUAACAAUACUCCGAGAACUGAAAGGCUUUUUGAAGUCUUCGGAUGGAUAGAAGAACCCCUGAUGCCGUCGAGCCAAGAAAAGUUUCUAAGUUUAGCUAAUGUUGCCCGUACCGUAAACCGACACAGGUGGGUGGGAUGAGUAUUCUAAGGCGCGUGGAAGAACUCUCUUUAAGGAACUCUGCAAAAUAGCACCGUAUCUUCGGUAUAAGGUGUGGUUAGCUUUGUAUUAGGAUUUACUCCGAAAGCAAGGAAACUUACAACAAAGAGUCCCUCCCGACUGUUUACCAAAAACACAGCACUCUGCUAACUCGUAAGAGGAUGUAUAGGGUGUGACGCCUGCCCGGUGCUCGAAGGUUAAUUGAUGGGGUUAGCAUUAGCGAAGCUCUUGAUCGAAGCCCG